Molecule: ribosomal RNA, 204 nt
Filed under: uncultured bacterium
Lineage: Bacteria
Description: partial 16S ribosomal RNA
Rfam family: Bacterial small subunit ribosomal RNA
Source: RNAcentral
CACGCAGGCGGUUUGUUAAGUCAGAUGUGAAAUCCCCGGGCUCAACCUGGGAACUGCAUCUGAUACUGGCAAGCUUGAGUCUCGUAGAGGGGGUAGAAUUCCAGGUGUAGCGGUGAAAUGCGUAGAGAUCUGGAGGAAUACCGGUGGCGAAGGCGGCCCCUGGACGAAGACUGACGCUCAGGUGCGAAAGCGUGGGAGCAAACA